Molecule: ribosomal RNA, 252 nt
Filed under: uncultured bacterium
Lineage: Bacteria
Description: partial 16S ribosomal RNA
Rfam family: Bacterial small subunit ribosomal RNA
Source: RNAcentral
UACGUAGGGUGCGAGCGUUGUCCGGAAUUACUGGGCGUAAGAGCUCGUAGGCGGUUUGUCGCGCCGUCCGUGAAAACUUGGGGCUCAACCCAAGCUUGCGGGCGAUACGGGCAGACUUGAGUACUGCAGGGGAGACUGGAAUUCCUGGUGUAGCGGUGAAAUGCGCAGAUAUCAGGAGGAACACCGGUGGCGAAGGCGGGGUCUCUGGGCAGUAACUGACGCUGAGGAGCGAAAGCGUGGGUAGCGAACAGG